Molecule: ribosomal RNA, 305 nt
Filed under: uncultured bacterium
Lineage: Bacteria
Description: bacterial SSU rRNA
Rfam family: Bacterial small subunit ribosomal RNA
Source: RNAcentral
AACGAACGCUGGCGGUAUGCUUAACACAUGCAAGUCGAACGAGAAAGCCCCUUCGGGGGCAAGUAGAGUGGCGCACGGGUGAGUAACGCGUAGAUAAUCUGCCCCUUAGCCUGGGAUAACCUUUCGAAAGGAGGGCUAAUACCGGAUAACACCUUAGGUCGACUGGCCUUUGGUUAAAAGAUUUAUCACUAGGGGAUGAGUCUGCGUAGCAUUAGCUAGUUGGUGAGGUAACGGCUCACCAAGGCAUCGAUGCUUAGCGGGUCUGAGAGGAUGAUCCGCCACACUGGAACUGAGACACGGUCCAG